GGCUGUGUGAGAUCUGUCUUUCUGCUGGUGGCCGUCCUGCAGAACGCACGCCUGGUCAACAUCCAUGUCAGGCGGGUUUGAAAACAAAAGAAAUACAUGGCAUCAGUUAAGAGAAAGAAAUGUGCCCUGUUGAAGUGUCCUACCAGUACAGCAAUGACAAGAACCAGAAACUAUGGACACAGCAGUUGGGUAACACAUGGGAGGAGAGAAGAUGCUGGAAGUGAGAGUCUUGUGAAAAUGCCGUCUGAACAGCCAUGUCCUAUGGGACAGGGAGUCGUUGGGAUCAGAACCAGGUAAAUGAACAAGCUCCAUUGCUGGCCAGUCUUGAGCCUUUGGAGUGGGAGUGCUGACUCCAAGAUACAAAAUACCAGAGAACUCCUAAACAUAGAAAGUAUCAAAUAGUGAGAACUCCCACAAAGGAAACCACUUGAAUACAAGACCCUGCAUCACCCAACUGCCAGUAGUACCCUGUGCCAGCCACCUCAUCCAAACAACAAACAAGACAAAAAUACAAACCCAAUUAUUGACAGAGAGGAUUACCACCUCACUCAGCCCU
This is a long non-coding RNA of Bubalus bubalis (water buffalo), 556 nucleotides long. RefSeq lists it as uncharacterized. The transcript is spliced from 4 exons. The record is from RefSeq and is a predicted model, not a curated record. NCBI's taxonomy places the organism in Eukaryota, Metazoa, Chordata, Mammalia, Artiodactyla, Bovidae.